Molecule: long non-coding RNA, 335 nt
Organism: Anopheles gambiae (African malaria mosquito)
Lineage: Eukaryota; Metazoa; Arthropoda; Insecta; Diptera; Culicidae
Exons: 2
Source: RefSeq, a predicted model, not a curated record
GUAUGUGCGAGUAGACCCCUUGCGAUGAAGGUGUAAACCGUCGGACUUCCGUCGAGGAACUGAAUCGCAACGAUCGCCGCUCGGCACGUGAAACCCCCAGCCAAUCGAGUUCGAGCCGCGUGCGAUCGCAAGGGAAACCCCUGAGGAAAGUUGUGUGGAAGGGAUUUGUUCAGUGUGUUCCGGAGUGGUACGUCGGGUUGAUGUUCCGAACUGGUAUGUCAGGUUGCGAUUGCUUUUUAUUGUUGUUGUUGUUGUUGUUGUUGAACAAAACAAACCGCGGUUUGCAGGGGAGACAGUGGCAAAAGAACCAAUAAACAAUCCUUGUCUGCUAACAA